Long non-coding RNA from Carassius carassius (crucian carp), 393 nucleotides. RefSeq lists it as uncharacterized. Lineage: Eukaryota; Metazoa; Chordata; Actinopteri; Cypriniformes; Cyprinidae. The record is from RefSeq and is a predicted model, not a curated record. The transcript is spliced from 3 exons.
UGGAGUCCAGGACCCUCAGGAGCCCUGCAGAAGAGCCAGACAGACAGACGGAUAGAAAGAAACCUUCUGGAAAUCCCUCCUUCAUACAUUUAAAACUACUUAGAGCGCAGGGUUAUGAACACACACGGUGGGAGAGUUUGCACAAGUUCAGUAUCAGGUUCAGAUGAGGAUGAAACUGAUCCAGAAUAUCCCAGCCAAAAGGAUGUGUCUCAUUUUCCAGGGAAUUUCCUCCUCUGUGGAGUGCAAGGAAGAGUGGCGGAGCGAUUUGAUAUGUGGGAUGUAUAGGAUAAAGCAGGCCAGAGGGGGUCAUUCACCAGGCUUACUUUACCAGUGUUUCCAGGAAAUGGACAUGGAUCCAUCCUGUGAGACCUCGACAGAGUGACCCAAACAUUA